GGGAGGAAUGUGGCGGCGGCAGCAGCCCGGCGGGCAUCUCCCUGUCGCCGGCUCCCCAAGACGGUCACGGGGCACCGCUGGGGCGGGAGCCCUUACCUGCUUCUCUGCAGACCGGCUGCUGGCGGAAAGCCCUCCUAUGGCGAAUCCUUCCCCCGGCAAGUCCUCUUUCUCUAGCUCGCCGAGAUUAUCCGCCCAGACUGACUAGGAGGAGGCCAGGAUACCGCCUUUCCGCGCGCCCCCAAACCCUCCGCUGCAGCAAUUCCCUCCUCCGCUGUGGGCUGGGGGCUUAUCCCCCUCCCUCUCGUGGUGGCUUCUACUUCUCCACGCAUCUGUUUGAGGGAUUGGCGCCGCGCGCGUUGGUGCAAAUCUACACCAUUUGCACGGCUUGCCCCGGGGAAAGCAGCGACUGGUAAGCAGAAAUGCAGAGAUCAAGGUGGAGAGUGGGAGGGAGCGUGAAAAUCGAAAACACAGCUUAUGUCAGCGGCGGCGGACCCCUCGUUAAUGGAUCCCGAGAAAAAGGAGCCCCCCUGCGCCACGAGCACUUGCUGCAUGUGUUGUAGACAAGGAAGAAGAGAAAAGAGAAAACCCCGAGAGUUAUCGCACUGCAAGCACCCAAGCCAAGAGAAGUGAAGGAUUUCUGCAGGGACAGGUGGAAAUCCCGGACUGGACUCUACAGAAUCACCGCCCGCACACAAGACCUUAGAGGCGCAGCUAGCCUUUUCUCAGCGAUUCAUCAGGCGCAACACUGGGCGGGCCCUUCUCAAGACAGGGCAUGCCGAACUUCACACGCCCUUCCGGUGCCGGCAAAAAAAGAAGAAGAAGAAGCAGAAGCGCAGAUGUUACAUAUCAUGGGGCUAAAUUAGCCAGAGCGGAUUGGCUUCCUUAGGUCGCCCCAUGGACAAGGUCGUCUGGGGAAUCCGCGGCUAACAGCUGGGAAGGCCCAACAUCUGGAGGCUUAGCUGGUGAUGCAGCUAAUGUGCUCAAAUCCCCACCUGCUAUGGGAUCAUCAGGGUAAUUAGAGAAGGAAAGCCUGUUAGGCGAGGCUGCGUGUGGAGUUACAGGUGGCUGCAGUUAUCUUAACAAGCCUGCCUAUCUGGCCCCACCACCACCCACACCUCUAUCAACUGCUCCUCCCAUCUACUUCCACACAGGACAUGCCUAUGCCUCAAUCAAGCAGGAGUGUUUAUGUGGCAUGGUUUCGGUUGCAUAUUAUGUUAUUUCACAUCUAUUUAACCGCAAUGUUAGGGAUUGCACAGAGUACUAAAGGCCUCCGAGAGGAGAGCUGGUCUUGUGGUAGCAAGCAUGACUUGUCCCAUUAGCUAAGCAGGGUCUGCCCUGGUUGCAUCUGAAUGGGAGACUUGAUGUGUGAGCACUGCAAGAUAUUCCCCUCAGGGGAUGGAGCCGCUCUGGGAAGAGCAGAAAGUUCCAAGUUCCCUCCCUGGCAGCAUCACCAAGAUAGGGCUGAGAGAGACUCCUGCCUGCAACCUUGGAGAAGCCGCUGCCAGUCUGUGAAGACAAUACUGAACUAGAUGGACCAAGGGUCUGACUCAGUGUAUGGCAGCUUCCUAUGUUCCAAGGGCUGGUAUUCAUGUCUAUUGGGACAGCACAGCAAAGGUACCAGAAUUGGUUGUUUUUGGCACAGGGUACCCGGAUUUGUGAAUGCUUCAGCAAAUCUAUAGCAUGCAUCAAGACUAUAACUACUACAAAUAUUUAUACACACAGAAAAUGAAUAUCUAAAUAAUGACGGCUCCCUGUCCUUGAAGGGCUCACAAUCGAAAAUGAAACAUAAGGCGGAAAGGUGCUAUGUUGGGACUGGAUAAGAACAGUUGCUCUCCCCCUGCUAAAUAUAAGCGAAUUGCAGCACACAGUGAGAUUAUAGCUCACCAUGUCCAGGGAGGGUUUUGAAAUGCUACUUGAGCCAGGGCCUAUAUGAAAGAUCAUCUCAACUCACAUCAAUCACUAUGCAAAUAAAAAAUAAAAAAAGUAAAAAGUUGUGGGCUGAGCCAGUCCUCAGAGCAACAUGGUCAAGGGCAUUAUAUGUACAACAGUAUAAGAAUGAUAGUGAAGAGAGAAUCAAACAACAAAUUACAAUUGAUAUCAAAGAUGCAAGAGAUGAGGUUACGUGACAACAGGUAAUGCAGAAUAGGCAAUACUACUACUUUCCAAGAAAGGCUGCUGAAAAAAAACUAGUUUCAAGGGGAGCAGGGUGUCUACACUCACACAGUCACAAGGAUCCUGGUUAAAAGUCAAUAAAGAUUAGUGAGCCCAGUGGAGCCGAUUGUGUGAAUGCAGAAUUUCAAAGCAAUCCUGAUCAAACUGCUCCAGUUAACCCACCAGUAUAGAUAACCAAGAUUGAAUUCUGGUUAAAUACUGGAAUCAGGAUUGCCCUGAAAUUCUCCACUCACACAGUCAGCUCUCCUGGGCUCACUAAUCUGAUCAACUUUAACCAGGAUCCUUGUGAUUGCCACCUUGAGAUUGUUUUAACUGCCUUGAGAUUGUUUUAAUGAAAGGUGGUAUACAAAUUUAACUUAAUAAAUAAAUAAAAAUUGUGUGAACACAGCCAUAAACAUUCAUUGAAAAGACGGGGGGGGGGAGAGAGAGACUUUUCCCACUCUUUAACCACCCUGGUUGUGAUUAGAAAUGUUAUGGAGUAACUUAUCUGUGUUGCAUAUUUAUAGUUAGAUUGCACAGUCCCUCUAAGGAGCACAGGAUGGUUGCCCCUCUGAAGCAGAUCAGUCACAAAAAGAAUGACUGUGAAUAGCUGAAUGAGGAUUUGAACUCAGGUUUUCCCAAUCCCAGCCCAGUCAUUCUAGCACACCAGCUCACAUAUCUCCCUCUGAUGCAGAUGGAGCAGAAAGGUGACUGUUAGCUUUAUAGUGGAUUUUGAACUCAAUCCGAGUCUCAGUCUCACCACUACAUACACUAGCUCCGAUAUCUUGUAAUGCUUAAUAGGCUUAAUAGGCAUAGGAAAGGGAGCAAGGGGGGGAACAAUGUUCCAUGGGGUGUAUAGAAACAAGAGCAGAUGAGAAAUAAAAGCACCUUGUGUCAUUUCUGCAGAUGUAAAACAGUAGUACAGUCAAUGUAAAGGUAGCCACAAUUAAUAUGGUAGUUUUAGCACCAACAUGUUCUGGGUCCAAAAGGGAAAACACCUGCUUAUGAAGCAAAGCUUGUAGAUGAGUUUAAAUGCUCCUUAUUCCCCAGCCAAAGUUUAUGUUUCCUAUUUCCCUGUGUCCCAGCCAUACUUGCCUGCAGCCCUCCCUGGUGCCUGCGAAUGGUGCAGCAGGGAAAUGUUUGACUACCAAGCAGAAGCUGGCCAGUUCAAAUCCCCGCUGGUACUAUAUCGGGCAGCAGCAAUAUAGGAAGAUGCUGAAAGGCAUCAUCUCAUACUGCACAAGAGGAGGCAAUGUUAAAUCCCUCCUGUAUUCUACCAAAACAAAACCACAGGACUCUGUGGGCUCCAGGAGUCGAAAUUGACUGGUCGACACACUUUACUUCUACCAAAUAGGCACCCAUGCACACCCUAAUCUCCUGAAGCAUCCACCCAUGCACCUCCAUCAAGUGCAUCUGAAUAUGUUGGUCCAGCCCGUUUUCCGAUGCUGCCAGCCAGCAAAAGAACCAAUUAAUGCUAAUUGCCACUAAAUAUCCCAAGUGACGGCACCAUUGCAAAUGAUUCAUAUUCCAAAAGCAGCACACACAGUGCACUGGCUGCUUCCUUUCCAAAGUGCUGAGGGAGCAAUUCUAGCCAACUGUACUUACAUCACAGACAUCAUUCUCUACCUAGAUAGCAAGCUGUUGCCAUACACUGCUGGAAAGGAAGGCUUUACAUGCAUGCACCCACAUGCAUCUCGUUGCUACCACUACAGGAGUCAUGUUAUUCUUAGGAGCAGCCUUGCACAAUCAGCUGGCUAGACGCAGUCACUCUGGGUUGAACCAGCUUGACUCCCUCCCCACCUGAGAAAUUACCCACACUCACAACUGGGCUAAGAUCUCUUGGGAUGCAUUUCUGCAUUGAGAAAGAGCCGCAGGUCAGUUUAAGAACAGCUAUGCCCAGAGACGCACUUAUCCCUGAACUUUGGAGCUGAAGUCCAGGGCCUCCCAGGUGGUGUGGCUGCUGUACUGCACUGGGCAGAGCCGAGUGCAAUUGUGACUGGGUGCUUUAGAGACAGAGCAGGGAAUGGGAAAGAAAUAUGUGUGAUGGAAAUAUGUUAGGUUGUGUGUUGAAAUAUUUCUGCAAAUGCAUAUGUGGAUAAAUCUAGCUGUUUUGUAGUCUUACAUUCUUGUGACUUCAGUUGCCGUUUGUGCCCUCAAGAACCUAGGUGUUAAAAAUACUGUGUGUGUCAAGGUGUGUGUGUGUGUGUUUGUAGGGGGUGAUGCUUAUCUUGCAGUGGGGGGAGACUCCAAAGGGCUAUAGGUCCAGGCUCUAAAAUUACCUAGGUGCACCUCUGCCUGUGCCCUAAACUACAAUGGUUUGUAGUUUAGGGCACAGGCAGGUUAGUCAGUGAAGAACUGAGCAGCAAUCUGCACCACAGACUUGUGCAAUAGCAGGUGAGGAGACUGGGACCAUAUUUUAUUCCAUGUAUCUUAUUUAUACCCCAUCUUAUAAUUUUGCUUCAGUGCAGCAUACAAAAAUAACGUUUAACACAUACUCAGAUAACAAUGAAAGAAAUCAUAAAGCAGCAGUUUAAACAACAACAACAUCAACAAAAAGCCAGCUGGUAGAACCAACUGACACAUCAGCAAACCGAAGGCAACUAAAAGACUCAAAACAUAUUAAAAGCCAGCACUUGGACAGGGUCAGGCUGUCUCUUUCACAUCCUUGAGGAUGUAAAUGGGUUAAUCUUUGGAAACAUCUUCAUUCCAAAAUCUAUACAGGGGCCUGCUUCACACAAUUGUUUGGACCCAGGUUUAAAGUCAGUAAUCAACAUUAACAUGAUUGUGUGAACCUGCAACAAGAUUACCAAUGUUGGUUUGUGUAACAAAAUGAAUCUGAGAUUCCCACCUUGGCAUGGGUUCACACAAUCACGCUAAUGUUGCUUACCAACUCUGUACCUAGAUUCAAACAAUUGUGUGAAGCAGGCCAGAGUGGAAAAGUUGGGUUUUCUAGACAGUAUGCUUGGGGGUGGGGGGAGUGCCCACCUAUUCUGUGCCUUCUUUUUGAGCUCAGUCUGAGUAUUUCUUUAUUAUCAUGGUGAUGCCAUUUAACUAUGUAAACAAGAUUCUUUGGGGGGACAACCACAGGAUUCAAACCUUAUAUAAAUAUCCAUUGUUACUGAGGACAUCGAGAGCCACAUAAUGGUACAGCAGGGAAAUGACUUGACUAGCAAGCCAGAGGUUGCCGGUUCAAAUCCCCACUGGUAUGUUUCCCAGACUAUGGGAAACAGCUAUAUCGGGCAGCAGUGAUAUAGGAAGAUGCUGAAAGGCAUCAUCUCAUACUGUGUGGGAAAUGGCAAUGGUAAACCCCUCCUGUAUUCCACCAAAGACAAUCACAGGGCUCUGUGGUUGCCAGGAGUUGACACUGGCUCGAUGGCACACUUUACCUUACUGAGGACAUCAAAAGAGUCUUAAGAUAGCUUCACUAUUAGAAGAAUUCUUUCCUUGAUAAGGAAGAAAUCUUUAGUGACUCAGGGUCAUCAUUUUGUCUGACUUCUUUUAUUGAAUGGAUCCUACGCAGCAGUGAUGUGGUUGCCAAUUCAGAAGUGCAGAAGGCACUCUCCAUGACAGCCCCACUAGCCAUGCCUACCCUAACAGCCAAGGAAGCCGAAAAGUACUGGUGCUCUGUCCCUGUACAUCCCCCUCGGCCCCUCCACUACACCCUUGCUACCCAGUCCCUAAAAGGCUGGUGUACUGGCCUGCUUUUGCGCUGCACAAUGUGUAUGGUGUCAGGAGGACCCGCUAGCUCCCACAGCUGGAAUCAGAUGAGAUUUAAUCAUCAGAGGAGGACACCUCCAAUGGCCUCAGUAUGAACCCAGGAGGACGUAGGGAAGACCAGGCACCCUGAGGCAGUCCCCUCAUACUUUAGGACAAACCUCAGAACUGAUAGACCCUACCAUGAUCUGACGAGAAUCCCCCUUGUCUCUGGACCCCCACAUUCACCACUGGAACCUCAAUAAGAGAAAUGGCAGCAAGCCCCCAAACUGAAUGAUCAUGGACCUUUCCAGAGUACUAUUCAGGAGGAGGAAUCAGUGCAGUCAGGAUCAAUCUCUUUCUACUACACCAAGCAGAGUGGGGCGGCCAGGAGCUCUAUAUAACACCUCAGUUGCUACCUGGAAGUUGCUGGUGCAACAACUUCAUGGACCAGCUUCUAGUUCUAGCUGACUCCCAGGCAAAUCCCCUGCUGCUCAGCCCCUGGCCCUCUAACUUUGGAUUAACCUUCUCACCUUCUUAAGGAUGCUGGCCAACUCCUCUGCCUUGCCUGGAAGACUGGGAACAGGACAAAUUGAGGAGACACAAAUUCUAGCCUUAAGGAAUCCUAAUCCCCGCCCCCUUUUCUCUCUUUUUAAUCUAGAGGAAAUUAGAGUCAAAGCAGGCUUCUUUAAGUUCCUUUUGAUAUGUCUGAAAUGGUUAUACUUUAUUGAAUAAAUAUUUCAUAUGCUUAA
Hemicordylus capensis (graceful crag lizard) is the source of this 6596-nucleotide long non-coding RNA. RefSeq lists it as uncharacterized. Lineage: Eukaryota; Metazoa; Chordata; Lepidosauria; Squamata; Cordylidae. The transcript has 2 exons. The record is from RefSeq and is a predicted model, not a curated record.